UUCCGGUUGAUCCUGCCGGACCUUACUGCUAUCGGGGUGGGACUAAGACAUGCGAGUCGAGCGUCUCUAGCUAUGUUGAGACGCGGCAGACGGCUCAGUAACACGUGGCUAACCUACCCUCAGGACGAGGACAAACCCGGGAAACUGGGGCUAAUACUCGAUAGGUGAGAAUGUCUGGAAUGAUUUCUCACUCAAAGGGCCUUGGGAACAUGCUUCCAAUGUCGCCUGGGGAUGGGGCCGCGUCCGAUCAGGUUGUUGGUGAGGUAACGGCUCACCAAGCCUAUAACCGGUACGGGCCGUGAGAGCGGUAGCCCGGAGAUGGGUACUGAGACAAGGACCCAGGCCCUACGGGGCGCAGCAGUCGCGAAAACUCCGCAAUGCACGAAAGUGUGACGGGGCUACCCCGAGUGCCAUCCGCUGAGGGUGGCUUUUCUUUGGUAUAACUAGCCGAGGGAAUAAGGAGAGGGCAAGACUGGUGUCAGCCGCCGCGGUAAUACCAGCUCUCCGAGUGGUAAGGAUGAUUAUUGGGCUUAAAGCGUCCGUAGCCGGCUUAGCAAGUCUCCUGUUAAAUUCAGCGACCUAAUCGUUGAGCCGCGGGAGAUACUACUAUGCUAGGAGGCGGGAGAGGUCGACGGUACUUCUGGGGUAGGGGUGAAAUCCUAUAAUCCCCAGGAGGACCACCAGUGGCGAAGGCUGUCGACUAGAACGCGCUCGACGGUGAGGGACGAAAGCUGGGGGAGCGAACCGGAUUAGAUACCCGGGUAGUCCCAGCCGUAAACGAUGCGGGCUAGGUGUUGGGAUGGCUACGUGCCAUUUCAGUGCCGCAGGAAAGCCAUUAAGCCCGCCGCCUGGGGAGUACGGCCGCAAGGCUGAAACUUAAAGGAAUUGGCCGGGGGAGCCCCACAAGGCGUGAAGCUUGCGGUUCAAUUGGACCUCCACGCCCGUU
This 946-nucleotide ribosomal RNA is filed under the name uncultured archaeon. RNAcentral's name for it is "bacterial SSU rRNA". It matches the Rfam family "Archaeal small subunit ribosomal RNA", at positions 1 to 923 of the family's 1478-position model. The record is from RNAcentral.